Molecule: ribosomal RNA, 498 nt
Filed under: uncultured bacterium
Lineage: Bacteria
Description: partial 16S ribosomal RNA
Rfam family: Bacterial small subunit ribosomal RNA
Source: RNAcentral
GGAUGAACGCUGGCGGCGUGCCUAAUACAUGCAAGUCGAGCGAACGGACGAGAAGCUUGCUUCUCUGAUGUUAGCGGCGGACGGGUGAGUAACACGUGGAUAACCUACCUAUAAGACUGGGAUAACUUCGGGAAACCGUAGCUAAUACCGGAUAAUAUUUUGAACCGCAUGGUUCAAAAGUGAAAGACGGCCUUGCUGUCACUUAUAGAUGGAUCCGCGCUGCAUUAGCUAGUUGGUAAGGUAACGGCUUACCAAGGCAACGAUGCAUAGCCGACCUGAGAGGGUGAUCGGCCACACUGGAACUGAGACACGGUCCAGACUCCUACGGGAGGCAGCAGUAGGGAAUCUUCCGCAAUGGGCGAAAGCCUGACGGAGCAACGCCGCGUGAGUGAUGAAGGUCUUCGGAUCGUAAAACUCUGUUAUUAGGGAAGAACAUAUGUGUAAGUAACUGUGCACAUCUUGACGGUACCUAAUCAGAAAGCCACGGCUAACUACGUG